Molecule: long non-coding RNA, 1314 nt
Filed under: Equus caballus (horse)
Lineage: Eukaryota; Metazoa; Chordata; Mammalia; Perissodactyla; Equidae
Description: lncRNA (ENSECAG00000060104.1)
Source: RNAcentral
CAACCAUGAGAGGAGCUUAGGAGCAGGGGUGCCCUGACUUGGGGAAGGAAUUCCUCUAUCAAAUCAGAUGCAGAAUCUGAGGCCAGAGAAGUCGGGUGACAAGCCUUCAGAGUAAGCCAAGCGAGUCUUUGGGGAAGCUGGGCUGAGAGGCCUCCUGACUCCUCUUCCAGGGUUUGUCAGCUCAGACAGACUGCUUCAAAAUCUCUCUGUUGGUUCCUGCUGAGCUGGUAGUGUUGGACUAUUAUAUCUAACCCACUGGAAGAGCACCUUCUGCAUUCCAGGCCCUUGGAUGCUGGUAGAAAAUGCACAGAUGAAUGAGCCAGAAUCCCUGCCUUCAAGGAGCUGGAAAUCUAGCCUGGAGACAAACUUAGCAAACAAGCCGCUGCUAUAAAAUGCACUAAGUGCUACGAUAGAGGAGCAGAGGACCAUCGGAAACAGGAAGGAGAAGGUGUCUUGCUCCCUGCUAGAGGAGCAAGCUUUCAGAGGAGGAAAUGUUUGAAAACCCUAAUGGAUACACAGCAGAUGAUGGUGUGCCUAGGCAAGAAGAGCAAAUUCACUGUGGCAGACGUUCAGAGAGUGGUGGGAGAUGGGACCAUAAGGGAGGUCGUCAUCAUUAUGAAGAACUUUACACGCCGUACUUACUAAUCGGGAUUUUAUCCUGCAUCUGCGGCAUGGUGUGCUCCACAUAAGGAGGAUAUUGAGAUGAAUAAGAUACCACCCUGCUCUUGAGUGGCUCCCAAACUAUGAAGAAAGGCAGACACAAGUAAUUUGUCACCUCUUCUGAGAAACUGUCCCACAUUCCUUCUGAGAGAUGUUAUUCAUUUUGGCGAGUCUUCACCAGACUGGGAGGACAAACUGGUAAUAUCCACAGUAAUGUCUAACAUUUUGUUUCCUGACAUCACCAACUACAUGAUGUAGAAACUCAGCCCCCUGCCUGCUGAGCAUUCCCACCAGGACUUUCUGGACGUUCCCGUGGAGUGUCCACAGUGCCUCACAUGUGCUCCUGGAUAUGUCUGUCCCCAGCAGGAAAUCCACCUCUACUUUUGUUGUGGGCAGUGCUUUUCAUCAAGUUCCACUGCUUUUUCCCGGAAAACUGUGGUCUCCUCAGGGUCCUCUCUUGCUCCUAUGGACCCCAUCACCUCCAUCCUGCUCUGGAGACACUGUGAUCUCCACCAGGAAUUGUUCACUCCUCUGCCACCCCGUAUACCACCACUGCUGUAUUUGAGCAAUGUUUCCAAAGUGUACUUCCAAGAUCCAAGUUCUGCAGAAUGCCACAUGUGUUCUAGAGAUUUUGAUUUUAACGCUGGAUUCCAU